CACGGGGGGAGCAAGCGUUGUUCGGAAUCACUGGGCGUAAAGGGCGUGUAGGCGGUCAAGUAAGUGGAAUGUGAAAGCCCCCGGCUUACCCGGGGAUCUGCAUCCCAAACUGCUUGGCUUGAGUACGGGAGAGGAUAGGGGAAUUCCUGGUGUAGCGGUGAAAUGCGUAGAUAUCAGGAGGAACACCAACGGCGAAGGCAGCUCGCUGGGACGGUACUGACGCUAAGGCGCGAAAGCGUGGGGAGCGAACAGG
RNAcentral lists this ribosomal RNA (253 nucleotides) under uncultured bacterium. Its description in RNAcentral is "partial 16S ribosomal RNA". It matches the Rfam family "Bacterial small subunit ribosomal RNA", at positions 524 to 776 of the family's 1533-position model. The record is from RNAcentral.